AAUCAAAUAGUUAUGUUUUAAUAGCUACGUUGACAUCGUAGAGGUCACAAGUUCGAAUCUUGUUAUGCCCACCA
This 74-nucleotide transfer RNA is filed under the name Rickettsiales bacterium. Its description in RNAcentral is "tRNA-Val". Lineage: Bacteria; Pseudomonadati; Pseudomonadota; Alphaproteobacteria; Rickettsiales. The record is from RNAcentral.